RNAcentral lists this ribosomal RNA (260 nucleotides) under uncultured bacterium. RNAcentral's name for it is "partial 16S ribosomal RNA". It matches the Rfam family "Bacterial small subunit ribosomal RNA", at positions 793 to 1055 of the family's 1533-position model. The record is from RNAcentral.
GUCCACGCCCUAAACGUUGAUUACUCGCUGUUGGCGAUACACUGUCAGCGGCUAAGCGAAAGCGUUAAGUAAUCCACCUGGGAAGUACGUCCGCAAGGAUGAAACUCAAAGGAAUUGACGGGGGCCCCGCACAAGCGGAGGAGCAUGUGGUUUAAUUCGAUGAUACGCGAGGAACCUUACCUGGGCUUAAAUGUCAUUUGACCGGUGCCGAAAGGUGCCUUCCCUUCGGGGCAAAUGGCAAGGUGCUGCAUGGCUGUCGU